GGUUGAUCCUGCCAGUAGUCAUAUGCUUGUCUCAAAGAUUAAGCCAUGCAUGUCUAAGUAUAAACGACUUUAUACUGUGAAACUGCGUACAGCUCAUUAAAUCAGUAAUUAUUUAUUUGAUGGUACCUUACUACAUGGAUAACCGUAGUAAUUCUAGAGCUAAUACAUGCGCAAAAUCCCGACUCACGAAGGGAUGUAUUUAUUAGAUACAAAACCGCCGCUGGGGCAACUCAGCGUUUUUGGUGAAUCAUAGUAACUGAUCGAAUCGCAUGGCCUCGUGCCGGCGAUAGUU
This 292-nucleotide ribosomal RNA is filed under the name uncultured eukaryote. RNAcentral describes it as "partial 18S ribosomal RNA". It matches the Rfam family "Eukaryotic small subunit ribosomal RNA", at positions 6 to 295 of the family's 1831-position model. The record is from RNAcentral.